This 274-nucleotide ribosomal RNA is filed under the name uncultured bacterium. RNAcentral describes it as "partial 16S ribosomal RNA". It matches the Rfam family "Bacterial small subunit ribosomal RNA", at positions 523 to 796 of the family's 1533-position model. The record is from RNAcentral.
AUACGGAGGGUGCAAGCGUUGUUCGGAAUCACUGGGCGUAAAGGGCGCGCAGGCGGUUUGGUAAGUCAGAUGUGAAAGCCCACGGCUCAACCGUGGAAGUGCAUUUGAAACUGCCAGACUUGAGUACCGGAGGGGAAAGUGGAAUUCCCGGUGUAGAGGUGAAAUUCGUAGAUAUCGGGAGGAAUACCGGUGGCGAAGGCGACUUUCUGGCUGGAUACUGACGCUGAGGCGCGAAAGCGUGGGGAGCAAACAGAAUUAGAAACCCUAGUAGUCC